RNAcentral lists this ribosomal RNA (253 nucleotides) under uncultured bacterium. RNAcentral describes it as "partial 16S ribosomal RNA". It matches the Rfam family "Bacterial small subunit ribosomal RNA", at positions 524 to 776 of the family's 1533-position model. The record is from RNAcentral.
UACGUAGGGGGCAAGCGUUGUCCGGAAUUAUUGGGCGUAAAGCGCGCGCAGGCGGUAUGUUAAGUCAGAUGUGAAAGGCUACGGCUCAACCGUAGAGUGGCAUUUGAAACUGGCACACUUGAGUGCAGGAGAGGUGAGUGGAAUUCCCGGUGUAGCGGUGGAAUGCGUAGAGAUCGGGAGGAACACCAGUGGCGAAGGCGACUCUCUGGCCUGCAACUGACGCUGAGGCGCGAAAGCGUGGGGAGCGAACAGG